UGGAGAAUAUUGGACAAUGGACCAAGAGUCUGAUCCAGCAAUUCUGUGUGCACGAUGAAGUUUUUCGGAAUGUAAAGUGCUUUCAGUUGGGAAGAAAGAAAUGACGGUACCAACAGAAGAAGUGACGGCUAAAUACGUGCCAGCAGCCGCGGUAAUACGUAUGUCACGAGCGUUAUCCGGAUUUAUUGGGCGUAAAGCGCGUCUAGGUGGUUAUGUAAGUCUGAUGUGAAAAUGCAGGGCUCAACUCUGUAUUGCGUUGGAAACUGUAUAACUAGAGUACUGGAGAGGUAAGCGGAACUACAAGUGUAGAGGUGAAAUUCGUAGAUAUUUGUAGGAAUGCCGAUGGGGAAGCCAGCUUACUGGACAGAUACUGACGCUGAAGCGCGAAAGCGUGGGUAGCAAACAGGAUUAGAUACCCUGGUAGUCCACGCCGUANCGAUGAUUACUAGGUGUUGGGGGUCGAACCUCAGCGCCCAAGCAAACGCGAUAAGUAAUCCGCCUGGGGAGUACGUACGCAAGUAUG
RNAcentral lists this ribosomal RNA (523 nucleotides) under uncultured bacterium. RNAcentral describes it as "bacterial SSU rRNA". It matches the Rfam family "Bacterial small subunit ribosomal RNA", at positions 355 to 896 of the family's 1533-position model. The record is from RNAcentral.